GUGGGGAAUAUUGGACAAUGGGCGAAAGCCUGAUCCAGCCAUGCCGCGUGUGUGAAGAAGGCCUUUUGGUUGUAAAGCACUUUAAGCGAGGAGGAGGCUACCGAGAUUAAUACCCUUGGAUAGUGGACGUUACUCGCAGAAUAAGCACCGGCUAACUCUGUGCCAGCAGCCGCGGUAAUACAGAGGGUGCGAGCGUUAAUCGGAUUUACUGGGCGUAAAGCGUGCGUAGGCGGCUUUUUAAGUCGGAUGUGAAAUCCCUGAGCUUAACUUAGGAAUUGCAUUCGAUACUGGAAAGCUAGAGUAUGGGAGAGGAUGGUAGAAUUCCAGGUGUAGCGGUGAAAUGCGUAGAGAUCUGGAGGAAUACCGAUGGCGAAGGCAGCCAUCUGGCCUAAUACUGACGCUGAGGUACGAAAGCAUGGGGAGCAAACAGGAUUAGAUACCCCGGUAGUCC
This 451-nucleotide ribosomal RNA is filed under the name uncultured bacterium. RNAcentral describes it as "partial 16S ribosomal RNA". It matches the Rfam family "Bacterial small subunit ribosomal RNA", at positions 354 to 796 of the family's 1533-position model. The record is from RNAcentral.